GUGAGUAUAGCUCGGUGGUAGAGCACAUGGUUAGCAUGCACGAGGUCCUGGGUACAAUCCCCAGUACCUCCA
RNAcentral lists this transfer RNA (72 nucleotides) under Camelus bactrianus (Bactrian camel). It matches the Rfam family "tRNA". From Rfam's summary of the family: Transfer RNA (tRNA) molecules are approximately 80 nucleotides in length. Their secondary structure includes four short double-helical elements and three loops (D, anti-codon, and T loops). Further hydrogen bonds mediate the characteristic L-shaped molecular structure. tRNAs have two regions of fundamental functional importance: the anti-codon, which is responsible for specific mRNA codon recognition, and the 3' end, to which the tRNAs corresponding amino acid is attached (by aminoacyl-tRNA synthetases). tRNAs cope with the degeneracy of the genetic code in two manners: having more than one tRNA (with a specific anti-codon) for a particular amino acid; and 'wobble' base-pairing, i.e. permitting non-standard base-pairing at the 3rd anti-codon position. RNAcentral also lists the same sequence under 2 other names. The record is from Rfam by way of RNAcentral. Lineage: Eukaryota; Metazoa; Chordata; Mammalia; Artiodactyla; Camelidae.